Molecule: ribosomal RNA, 490 nt
Filed under: uncultured bacterium
Lineage: Bacteria
Description: partial 16S ribosomal RNA
Rfam family: Bacterial small subunit ribosomal RNA
Source: RNAcentral
UUGCACGCUGGCGGCAUGCUUUACCCAUGCAAGUCGAACGGUAACAGGCCUUCGGGUGCUGACGAGUGGCGAACGGGUGAGUAAUGCAUCGGAACGUACCCAGAGGUGGGGGAUAACGCAGCGAAAGCUGUGCUAAUACCGCAUGUGAUCUGAGGAUGAAAGCGGGGGACCGCGCAGCAAUGUUUGGCCUCGCGCCUUUGGAGCGGCCGAUGUCGGAUUAGCUAGUUGGUGGGGUAAAGGCCUACCAAGGCGACGAUCCGUAGCUGGUCUGAGAGGACGACCAGCCACACUGGAACUGGGAACGGGCCAGACUCCUACGGGAGGCAGCAGUGGGGAAUUUUGGACAAUGGGCGCAAGCCUGAUCCAGCAAUGCCGCGUGCGGGAAGAAGGCCUUCGGGUUGUAAACCGCUUUUGGCAGGAACGAAACGGUGUCCGCUAAUACCGGGCGCUAAUGACGGUACCUGCAGAAUAAGCACCGGCUAACUACGUG